Molecule: unclassified non-coding RNA, 953 nt
Filed under: Hevea brasiliensis (rubber tree)
Lineage: Eukaryota; Viridiplantae; Streptophyta; Magnoliopsida; Malpighiales; Euphorbiaceae
Source: RNAcentral
CAUGGAUGAAGCAUCCUCAAAACAAAUGGACUGCAUAUGGUAUAAGAGAAAGCAUUCUUCCAAAUCGGUAUAGUACCAGGCUUCAACUUUAAACAAAGCAGCAAAAGCUAGAUAUUCUCUUUCAGUGCAUGAAAUAACCAGGAAAAACACACUAUAGGCCACAAAAUGCUAAUUUUAUAUACAGAAUUUGCAAUAAGCUUUCCGAAUUCACAACUUUAUUCCUCGUGAAAUAAACACCACACAGCGUUUAGCAAUCAGUUUGGGAACACACAAGUUGUGACACCAAACUGACUGUUUCAGGCUGAUAUAUAAUGUUCUUAGGCAGUUGUUUUCACUUUUAAGUACCUACCUGUAACUUAGACCAAGCUGAUCAUCCAAACUGAAUUCCACCUUCAUAGCUGUGUUCUCACUCCAUCUCACUUGAGUUCAGCUCUGAUCCAACACCAUUGAGCUCCACUGAACUCCCUGAUUCAGAUAUUUUUGUUGUCCUUUGCAACUCAUCUGUUACAACUGUUGAAAGAGACACAGACUGAUCCUCUGCCAACUGUUCUUUCUGAACUGAUGAUUUUGGCCGUCGAAUGGCUUCUUUCUGCUGCUUCAGGCAUUGCAACAGGGGGAGGUUGGGGAGGAACCCAAGUACGCUGAAUUGGUUGUUCAUUAGUUCGUGCACCAUAAGGUCCAGCCUUGAUUUCAUCUUCAUUUUCAAUCUCUGUGAUCCUGGCAUUUUUCCGCUGCCACCAAGGCGUAGCACUCUCGCCAUCAAAAUGAUAUGUCACCCCAUUGUCUUGUACCUUGGAAUUUAAAGGUUCUCCAUUUACUUGAGGCUGGAGUACUUGGCCUGAAUUGUUUAGGGAAUGACCAGCCUCCCAAGGCUUAUUCCUUGGUGCUAAGCGAGUAUUUGAAAUUUUCUGGUUAGGGUUGGGUGGUUGAUCAUUGAUAUCUCUGAUGUUAGC